GUCGGGAUGGCCGAGUGGUUAUGGCGUGUGACUCAAGCGUAAGCUUCCUGCACUUAUUGCAGGCGCAUUCUCAUGGGCGUAGCCCGCGUGGGUUCGAAUCCCACUUCCGACA
Molecule: non-coding RNA, 112 nt
Organism: Bimuria novae-zelandiae CBS 107.79
Lineage: Eukaryota; Fungi; Ascomycota; Dothideomycetes; Pleosporales; Didymosphaeriaceae
Source: the annotation of a GenBank genome assembly